This 488-nucleotide ribosomal RNA is filed under the name Hypocrella raciborskii. Its description in RNAcentral is "SSU rRNA". It matches the Rfam family "Bacterial small subunit ribosomal RNA", at positions 276 to 777 of the family's 1533-position model. The record is from RNAcentral. Lineage: Eukaryota; Fungi; Ascomycota; Sordariomycetes; Hypocreales; Clavicipitaceae.
AAUUCUCGUAGUCGAAGCUGAAAGGUUGAUCGACCACAUUGGGUCUGAAAAAACCCCAAUGCAAGUUAGUACAGCAGUGAGGAAUCUUGGUCAAUGGCCUAACGGCUGAACUGGCAACUUGGAGAAGUGGCAAGUCUUAUUUUUGAUUAUAAUUUUAGAUAAUCUAUAAGAUUGUAUUAAAAUUGAAUAAAACUUUGUUUAUAUAUUGAUAAUGACAAUAUAUAUAUCGUGUCUUGACUAAUUACGUGCCAGCAGUCGCGGUAAUACGUAAGAGACUAGUGUUAUUCAUCUUAAUUAGGUUUAAAGGGUACCUAGACGGUCAAUAUAGCUUCUAGAAUGUUAGUACUUGACUAGAGUUUGAUGUAAGGGGGCAGUACUUGAGGAGGAGAGAUGAAAUUCUAUUAUACCAAAGGGACUCGGUAAAGGCGAAGGCAGCCCUUUAUGUAAAAACUGACGUUGAAGGACGAAGGCACAGAGCACAAACAGGA